UUGACAGCCCAGGAGAGUGCAUCCCUCUCUUUGUCCACAGAACAGGCACAGCAGGGCAGGAGCUGUGCAAGCUUCCCCCACACUGCCCUGCCAACGUGCCUCCUCCCUUUCAUUGAGAGGCCAUCGGUAGGACUGAGGUUCCCCCUCCAAGGAGGGUUGCCAAGUUUGGGUUGGA
This 175-nucleotide small RNA is filed under the name Chrysemys picta bellii (western painted turtle). Its description in RNAcentral is "TUC338 (ENSCPBG00000018171.1)". Lineage: Eukaryota; Metazoa; Chordata; Testudines; Emydidae. The record is from RNAcentral.